ACUCCUGCGGGAGGCAGCAGUGGGGAAUAUUGCACAAUGGGCGCAAGCCUGAUGCAGCCAUGCCGCGUGUAUGAAGAAGGCCUUCGGGUUGUAAAGUACUUUCAGCGGGGAGGAAGGCGAUAAGGUUAAUAACCUUGUCGAUUGACGUUACCCGCAGAAGAAGCACCGGCUAACUCCGUGCCAGCAGCCGCGGUAAUACGGAGGGUGCAAGCGUUAAUCGGAAUUACUGGGCGUAAAGCGCACGCAGGCGGUCUGUCAAGUCGGAUGUGAAAUCCCCGGGCUCAACCUGGGAACUGCAUUCGAAACUGGCAGGCUAGAGUCUUGUAGAGGGGGGUAGAAUUCCAGGUGUAGCGGUGAAAUGCGUAGAGAUCUGGAGGAAUACCGGUGGCGAAGGCGGCCCCCUGGACAAAGACUGACGCUCAGGUGCGAAAGCGUGGGGAGCAAACAGGAUUAGAAACCCCAGUAGUCCCAUGA
Molecule: ribosomal RNA, 474 nt
Filed under: uncultured organism
Description: partial 16S ribosomal RNA
Rfam family: Bacterial small subunit ribosomal RNA
Source: RNAcentral